Molecule: long non-coding RNA, 494 nt
Organism: Oreochromis aureus
Lineage: Eukaryota; Metazoa; Chordata; Actinopteri; Cichliformes; Cichlidae
Exons: 3
Source: RefSeq, a predicted model, not a curated record
GGAGGAGCAGAAACACGAGGCGGUGAACUGAACUUCAGGGAUCUGAAGGGGCUUGGAUGGGGAAAUAACUAAUUAUGACUUACCAAGCAUGCUGAUGGAACUGAGCUGGUUUCACUGAGUGCACAGGAAAUUGGUUUAUAAAACCUCUAUAAGAAGAGAAGGUGGCAGGUAAGCAUGAGACGACCGGGGAGCGAGCUGAGGAGGAGGCGAGCGUUUGAUGGAUAGUGCCGGUGAAGACGUGAGGGGGAGAUGCGCCGUGUGGUAAAUAAAAUCUGUGUUUGUGCCUUAACAGGCUUUCCUUGCAAUUACAGUCUCUUGCAAUUACAGCAAUUACAGUCUCUUGUAUUCCAUAAGCUGCCUCCAGCCAUUUGUUUGAAGCCAAUUCAUCACGGUACAAGAAAGAAAAUUAACAUUACUGAUUGAACUUCAGCACGCUGAAGUCAAAUGAGGAUGGGACGUGAGCUUCUGUCUUCCGGGGCAAUGCAGAUUUUCAU